AUAUCUUAGUGGCGAACGGGUGAGUAACGCGUGAGCAACCUGACCUUCAGAGGGGGAUAACACUUGGAAACAGGUGCUAAUACCGCAUAAGACCACGACCCGACAUCGGGAUGCGGUCAAAGGAGCAAUCCGCUGAGGGAGGGGCUCGCGUCCCAUUAGAUAGAUGGCGGGUAACGGCCCACCAUGUCGACGAUGGGUAGCCGAGCUGAGAGGCUGAUCGGCCACACUGGAACUGAGACACGGUCCAGACUCCUACGGGAGGCAGCAGUGGGGAAUAUUGGGCAAUGGGCGCAAGCCUGACCCAGCAACGCCGCGUGAGGGAAGAAGGCCCUUCGGGUUCGUAAACCUCUGUCCUUGGUGACGAAACAAAUGACGGUAGCCAAGGAGGAAGCCCCGGCUAACUACGUG
This 408-nucleotide ribosomal RNA is filed under the name uncultured bacterium. RNAcentral's name for it is "bacterial SSU rRNA". It matches the Rfam family "Bacterial small subunit ribosomal RNA", at positions 87 to 507 of the family's 1533-position model. The record is from RNAcentral.